Molecule: long non-coding RNA, 7749 nt
Organism: Bactrocera dorsalis (oriental fruit fly)
Lineage: Eukaryota; Metazoa; Arthropoda; Insecta; Diptera; Tephritidae
Exons: 4
Source: RefSeq, a predicted model, not a curated record
UGUUUUUUAUUAUGUAAUGGUGCAAUAUCAUGGGAAUGUAAAAAACAGAAAUGUGUAGCCCUCUCUAGCACUGAAUCAGAGUAUAUUAGUCUAUCUGAGGCAUGUAAAGAAGCAUUGUAUCUAAAGGAAUUACAAUAUGAAAUAACAAAUAAAAUGUACACAAUCAAUCUGUAUAAUGAUAAUCAGGGUGCACAAAAAAACUGUGUGCAAAUCCAGUCUUUCACAAACGUACAAAGCACAUUGAUAUCAAAUAUCAUUUUUGUCGUGACCUAGUAAGAGAUAAGAUUGUUAAAAUACUGUAUUUGCCAACAGCUGAUAUGCCGGCUGAUAUUUUAACUAAAAGUUUAUGUACAACAAAACACUAUAAGUUUAUGUCGCUUCUUGGCAUAGUUUCUAUAGAAUAAAUUUGAUAUGUUAUAAAUUUUUUCAGUGAAUAUUGCGAUAAGUGGAGGUGUUAUUUUGUAUCGGCAAUAUCACGUUUAAAGUUAGUAGCGCCAUCUUCAGUAUGAAUAUGUAAUAUAUAUCUGUAUGUGCUGUAGUUUGCUUCUACAAUAAAAUGAAUUCACUUCUUGUUUGUCAUUCACGUGUUUCAUUUCAUUUUAAAUAUGAAAGUAAAUUAAAUGUGUUGCACGUGCAUUCUCAAGCGUCGCAUGCUCGUGAUAUACCGUUAUAACAGUUCUAAUAUCAUUAAAAUUUAUAUUCUGUAUUGCUAAAAGCUAGUGUGCUAACGUAGUCGCAAAAGUGAGUACAGAGAAAUCGUGGCGUGUAGACAAUUUAAUUUGCAAAAUAUUAUAAAAAUGAGUGAAUAUAAUUUUCGGUCGAAAAUUUACUUAAUUGGAACGUCAAGCUCCCAAAUUCUUGGUGCAAAACUACCAUCAAAUAACAUAGUGAAAUUAUCAAUUCUUAAGAGUGCUAGAUUGACUAUAAAAGAAGUGUCCGUAUUUUGGGAAAAAGCAAGAAUUCCAAUAAGAGAUGAAAAACACUGCAUUGACAAGUUGGAAAAUACGCAUAGAGAAUGGCAAGCUAUUGGAAAAAGUAAAAAUCGGCCUAGUGAAAAGCAAAAACAAAAAGUAAAGCAAUUUAGUGAAAUGUUAGAUGAUUUAUUUGAUAUUGCUCAUGCUAAUGCAUUACAACUAAUUAAAAUUGACACCGACAAAAAGUUUUUGAUAAAUCAACGAAAAAAGGGGCGACCAGGAUGUUUUGGUGUUGUUGAUACCAAAACUGCCCAGAAUGAGAAGAGAAAGGCAGCGAUUUUAGAAGAACAAAUGAGAAGAAAGAUACGAGUGGUAGACAAUAUGGAAAACGAAAUUGAGGCAAUUAACACAGAAGCAGAAGAAUUCUCUUCAGACAGUGAUGAUGUGCAUACAAAUUUGGAAAGUGAGAUGGAAGAAGAUUCUCAUCCAUCAUGCUCCACUUCCAUCAAAAAUCGAGGAACGAAACGUCUUCACUGAAAGAGUCGUAUCUGCCCUAGAUAAAUGCAAAAUUAGUGAUCGUUCAGCAAUGCAUAUUGUCACUGCCGUUGCUGAAGCACUAGGACAUAAUACAAAUGAACUCAUAAUAAACCGUACGUCAUUGCAGCGCCAAAGGCAUUUAAAUCGGUUAAAAAAAUCAGAAAACAGCAAGGAAAACCUCAAGAUACACUGUGGCACUUUGCAUUGUGAUGGAAAACUCCUUCCGGAAAUAACAGGUCGAGAAUAGGUGGAACGACUUCCAGUUGUUGUUACUGACAGGAACGGCGAACACUUAAUAGGGGCUCCAAAACUAUAUGCUGCAACGGGCUCAGAAAUAGCUGAUACGCUGUACGAACUGAUAUUUGAGUGGGACUUGAAGAAUCAUAUUGUGGUCUGUUGUUUUGAUACGACAUCGACUAACACGGGCGUAAUAAAAGGAGCUGCAACGUUGUUAGAAAAAAAACUUGAGCGAAAGCUUUUGUAUCUACCUUGUCGGCAUCAUAUAUAUGAAAUAUUGCUGAGAGGAGUUUUCGAGUGUUAUUUUCCCGUAAAUACAAGUAAAGACAUCCAAUUGUUUCGCCGGUUUCAAGAGAAUUGAGAAAAUAUUGAUAAAAACAAUUUUAAAGACUUGCUACAAAACAAUGAAUUAAAAUUACGUUUGAAUGAUAACGUAGAUACCAUUUUAAAUUUUUGCAAGGAAGAGAUGAAAAAGAAAAUAGUUAGAGAUGACUAUAGGAAAUUAUUGGAAUUGACGUCUAUAUGUCUAGGAGCAAAUAACGGCAUAAAAUUUCGUGUACCAGGUCCCACUCAUCAUGCGCGGUGGAUGUCUAAAGCAUUAUAUUGCUUAAAGAUCUAUUUAUUUCGUGAACAGUUCAAACUAACGGAAUAUGAAGAGAAUUCGUUAGCAAGUAUAUGCGCAUUUAUUAUAAGAUUCUACGUUAAGCUUUGGUUUAGGGAUGAUCGAUAUUCAAAAAACAUCGAUGUUGACAUCGAUGUCAUAAUCGAAAGCUCAACAUCGAUGUUCCAUAUUUAUCAAAAACCGAACAUCGAUGUUGGAUCCAUCGAUAAUUUUUCAUUAAUAAUUGACAAAGAAACAAAACACAAUAUAUAAAUUCGAAAUUUAUUAAGCAACAGAUCAAAUUAUUACAUAUCCCAAUAUUUUUUAUUAAUUGACUGAAGCAAAAGUAAUUUUGGUAAAGAAGAACCUUUUAAUCGGUUUCUUUGUUGAUAAAGAGUAGAACCAGCUUUUGAAGAGCUUUCUGGGAAAUAUAAGAUAAUAAGAAAAGAAGAAAGAUUCUUUUUUACAAAUCUACUUCUGGGAAAAAUAAGAAUUCAUAUUUUUGGACUACUAUAUAAUAAUUGUGGCAUAAAAUUUAUAUACCAAUUGAAAUAAUAAAUUUAAAAUGCGCAAUAAUAUUUUGAUUUAUGCUUGUAUAAGUUUUUUAAAUUUAAGACUUCGCUCAUUCCCAACCCAAUUUUCAUAAUUUUUCUGUAAAUUAACAAUAUUAUACUAAAUAUUAAUUUUUUGAAAAAAUGUUAUUUUCAACAUGUACUUUAUUUUUAUAAUAUAACACAACCGUCUUAAUACUCGCUCUUCUAAUUUUCAUAUUGCCAAAUUGAAAAUGCCGUGGGCAUAUGUAUGUGCAAAUGGGAUAUGUUGCCUCUUCAAAAUUUUCAUAGAAAUGAAAAGUGCGCUGUCAAACUGCUGAAGUGACAGCUUCUAGCUUACUAUACAUGGCAAACUAGAUAGUAUUCUAUAUCUAGUAAGCUAUGAGCAAUGUGGAGUCUCCACAGGCAAUGGGCACGGCAAUGCAGCUAGUAUUCUAUAUAUUCAAUCCUGUCGAGAUGCCCCGUAAGCUGCAUUGCUUUGGAUGACGUCCGUGUCGUGCGUGAAGCCGUAAGUUAACAUCAAUGAUCGAUUCCGUUAACAUUGAUGUUGCGAUAUUUUUCGUAUGGUAACAUCGAUAUUAAAACAUCGAUGUUUUUGCUUUCAAUAUCGAUGAUUAUCGAACAUCGAUGUUCAUCGAGCAUCCCUACUUUGGUUUAACUGCACCAAUCCGUCUAAAGCACCUCUUCAAGACUUGUCUUUUAUUAAAGAAAUUCACGGGUAUAGAAAUGUUAAUAUAAUAUCUGAAAUUGCAAUAAAAAAAUUUGUAAACACCUCUGGUAACUGUCUGAAGAAUGUAUUGCAUUGACAUUAUUCGACGAUGACGUUUCUUAUGCCAUAAAACAAAAUGGAAAAAAUUAAAAACAAUGACAACUGCGACAAGGAAACGGAACAUUUAAAGAGGGUACACGUAAGAUCCAGUGAAAUCAAUGAAUUUAUAAGAAAAGAACUACAUGAUUUUGUAACAGCGAAUACAAUUGAUUUUUUAUGGACGGUUUGGGAUUUCACCUCAAUUUCUGCAGGUAGAUCCACUUUAUUGGAGGGAUACAGAAACCUAUCAAAAAGCUAAGGAUAUUGUUAUAAAUAUAAAAGUGGUUAACGACACAGUAGAACGUGGAAUAAAACUUAUGGAAGAAUAUAAUAGAAUACUAACAAAUGACGAACAAGAAAAUCAAUAUUUAUUACAAGUUGUAACUGAUUAUUAAAAACAAUUUGAUUCACAUAAUAAAUAAUUUUUAAUUAGAUCACAAGAAAUAAUAUUAUAUUUUUUAUUAUUACAAGUUAAAUUACCUUUCGCACAUAACAAAUGAAGUAGGGUGGACUAAAUUUAAGAAAAUGUAAAAAUUCGUAAUUUUUCAGGAUUUCAAGCUCCUUGCGCAACCUCUAAAUCUUUUUUGAUUGACCUAAAACUUUGUAUAUACUAGUUUUUUGGCUAUUCGCAUAUUUCAAGGGGGUGCGAUCGAGAAUUGGAAUACUUUGGAAAAUAAGGGCCACCCCAAUGUACAUAUGUAUUUUAUGCGUUGAAGGCGGCCUGUACAAUCCAAUACAAUAUGUGAAAUGUUAUCGCUCAUUUGCUGCAAGACCGGCAGAAAUCAAAAAACGUGAUUUUUGAGUUAAUGCUGCUGAAUUGUUCGUUAUAUCAUACUUCAUGUUGAGUGAAAAAUUCGUAUGAAUACCUCUCAUAUGCUCCGCUUGAGAAGAGGUGUAAGGUUGGAGUCACCGUGUAAGGUUGUAGUCAGUUGAAAACUUUAAACGCGUUUUCUGGUGAAUCGAUUUUUUUGACUUAUGCCGGUCUUGCAGCAAAUGAGCGAUAUGUGAAUGUUUGUUUUAUAUUUUAAAUGAUCAAAUAAUAUUUAUCUUUUCUUUCAUAUCGCUUUCAUGUUUACAACUUUACUACCUACUGAUUAUCUGUUUUUUUAUUAUAAUAUUUGUAAAUUUGUCUACACACAACUUUGUAUGUAAAUGUGUACGCUUACUACUUCAUGCGAAAUCUCCGUUGUCACCGGCAACCAAUGGCUGAAGCUCACAUUUUGUCGAAGAGUCAAUGUGUCGAAGAACUGACGUGACGACAAAGCGUCACACCAUUGUGUUGUUGGUCGAAAAUCCGAGCUGUGCCGAAAACACAAACGAACGAUCGCCAGUUGCCACUGCUUCCCUUGCCGCUGUAACAGCUUCUCCAACAAACCAUUGUAAAUAUGUAUGUUUGCAUACAUAUCGACACAGAUUUUUGUAAGCCGCGUAAAAAUAUAUAUACAGGGAAACCUCCCACAAGCGGACACUGACGGUUCCACAAUUUUUGUCCGCUUAUGGGGAGGGUCCGCUUAUAGGAGUGGGCGAAUAAAAAUUUUACUAAAAUUUAUGCACACACUACUUUUUAGAUAAAUUAGAUUUCUUGGUAAUUUAAUUUAUAUAUUUCAUUUUUAUUGCGAGAUGUUUCAUAGUUAUAAUAAAUUGAACAUAUUUAUUUAUGUUUGGACUUUUAAAAAUUCCUUUACCGUAGUUUGUCGCCACUUUCCUUGUUUCUGUUUUAUAAAAAAGUUUUCAGGAUUUCUUUCCAAAUUUUUGGCAUACUGAAAUCGAGUAACGUCGUCACUAAUGAAUUUUUUAAUGCGACGAAGUUGUUUUAGUGUUUCAGUGUAUGAUUUAAUUUGACCCGCAUCCUGAGCGCAUACUUCAUUUAGUUCUUCAGUUUCUCUGUCAGAUAAUUCGUCAGUAACCGUUUCGUCAAUAACAAUGUCAAUAUUAUCAUCUUCUGUAGUAACAAUUUCGUUGAUUAACAAAAAGUCAUCGGAAAGCUGCCCUUGCUCAUUUUCAUUUAAAAGUUUUAUCAAAGCCGAUAACGUCGAUAUGGGAAUAUCGUCCUCUGCAUCGAAGUCAGAAAUUUCGUUCAAACUUUUUUGGAAACCAGCUUUUGAAAAACAGUUUUUAAUUGUUUCCAUCGUUACGUUGUCCCAUGCAGUCUUAAUAAAAUAAAUAGCCUCCAAAAUGUCAAAUGUUUCUAAAAGUUUGUUCAUUGAAAUUUCAUCUAUUCUUGUUAAAAUAUGUUUGAUAAUAUUGCAUCUGUAGUGACAUUUGAAAUUCUGUAUAAUUCCCUGAUCGAGGGGCUGGCAAAUUGAUGUUGUAGUAGCAGGUAAAAAGAUCAACUUUAUGUUAUUAAGUUUAAUAUGUCGAGGGUGAGUUGUGGCAUUGUCCAAAAAUAGUAAAACUUUUCUUAUCUGAGAGCCCAUUUUUUUAUCAAACGUUAGUAGUCACUCACACAUAAUUUCACGAAACAUCCAAGCUUUGGGAUUUGACUUCCAUUCAACUGACAGACUUUUUAUAUCGCAUUUUUUAAACGCGCGUGGUCAUGCUGUUUUUCCGAUCACUAACGGUUUUUCCUUAUCUCCAGCCAUAUUGGCACACAAUAGCACUGUUAAUCUUUCCUUCGAUAACUUACCGCCAACACAUUUUUCGUUCUUCAAGGCCAGAGUCUUAUUUGGCAAAGCCUUGAAAAAAGUCCAGUUUCAUCUACGUUAAAUAUAACUUCUGGUCUGUAGCCCAAUAAAAAGUCUGGUAGCUUUUGUUUGAAUUGAUGUACAUCCUCAGGAUUAACCUCAGCAGAUUCUCCACAUAUGCAUUUGAAAGUCACAUUAUGUCAUUUCCGCCAUUUUCCAGCCAUCCAUUUGAUGCCGAAAAAGUUUGAACUCCUACUUUACCCACAAUUUGUUUUGUUUUUUCCUUUUUAAUAUGGCCCGACACUAGUAUAUUUGAUUUGAUUUCUGGCUUUGACAAACCACUUAAAACACAAAUUGUCUAUUUUUGAACCAGCGUUUAAAAAACUGCGGCAAGUUUCAGGAAAAACUGCGGCAAGUCAAGGAAAAAAUCAGAAGUCGCAUGAUUUGACUGGCGCAAAAAUCAAAUAGCUACGAAAAUCAGAAAUCAGCAUAAGUCGCCGUUAUUCGUUUUUCUGCUUUCUGCUUUGCUGUUGCUUUCGUUCGUAUACAUAAGUUGCCGCAGCAGCUAUCAACAAUUUUCGACAGUUGUUGGCAGUCACAGUCGCGAAAAGUAAUUCAUUCGGCUUUUUGCUACUUUUGAUUUUUGUCGCUGUCGCUUUCGAUCAACAGCGUAAGUCGAAAAAAGCAAAAAGCGUCCGAUUCGUGGAAGUCACCAGCAGUUGCCGUCUUGUUCUUUUUCCUCUUUUGCUUUUAUUUGCAAUUUGAACGCUGCUAGACUCACAUGUGUUCAGUUAUGGCGCCAAGUGCAUCAUUUAAAAUCUAUUUGGGAUAGACUUAAUAGUCUUCACCCUACUGGCAAUAUGUGCUCAACUCCGAAUUCCAGCUCUAAUGAAAUGCAGAACUAUUUUUUUGAUGAGGACGACGAAUUGUUAGAAGCGUACUUAUCUCACGGCGUUAAAUCAGAAGUCAACAGUACAAUCGAUGUCUAUUCAAAAAUUGAAAACCUGAAACUUUCUUAUCAAAGGGUUGACAAAGACGUUAUGUCUUAUUGGAAAGGAAAACAGUAUACCGACCAGGAAUUAUACGCAAUUAGUAAUAUUUGUUAUACCGUAUCGCCAGCUCAGGUGUCGAUUGAACGAGCUUUCUCUACUUUAAGACUGGUGCUUACCGACUAUCGCAAUCGAUUAAGCCACGACGUUCUUGAGAACAUAUUGCUAGUAAAAUUAAAUCCUAGCUUUCUGGACAUGCCCAUUGAUACGUUGCCACUUUUUGAACAAGAGGAACUUUGUGAUGAAUAAUCAAAAAAAUGAGUAAUGAAUGUAAUGAAAGCAAUGAAAAAUUAAUUUACUGUUAUGUUUUUAUGUUAUUUUAUUCCAACGAAUUUUGAUUUAGUUUUUUAUUUUUGUAAACUUAAGAAAAAUUAAAAAAGUUGAAAAUGAACAAAAUAAUAAAAAAAUUCAAGUACACUAUGAGUAAA